GAUGAACGCUGGCGGCGUGCUUAACACAUGCAAGUCGAACGGAAAGGCUCCUGCUUGCAGGGGUACUCGAGUGGCGAACGGGUGGGUAACACGUGGGUGAUCUGCCCUGCACUUCGGGAUAAGCCUGGGAAACUGGGUCUAAUACCGGAUAGGACCACAUUUUGGAUGGUGUGGUGGAAAGUUUUUCGGUGUGGGAUGAGCUCGCGGCGUAUGAGCUUGUUGGUGGGGUAAUGGCCUACCAAGGCGUCGACGGGUAGCCGGCCUGAGAGGGUGUACGGCCACAUUGGGACUGAGAUACGGCCCAGACUCCUACGGGAGGCAGCAGUGGGGAAUAUUGCACAAUGGGCGCAAGCCUGAUGCAGCGACGCCGGGUGGGGGAUGACGGCCUUCGGGUUGUAAACUCCUUUCGCUAGGGACGAAGCGCUAGUGACGGUACCUGGAGAAGAAGCACCGGCUAACUACGUG
RNAcentral lists this ribosomal RNA (465 nucleotides) under uncultured bacterium. RNAcentral describes it as "partial 16S ribosomal RNA". It matches the Rfam family "Bacterial small subunit ribosomal RNA", at positions 28 to 507 of the family's 1533-position model. The record is from RNAcentral.